GACUUUAAGAAAAAAUUGUGCUGUUAUCCCUACGGUAGCUUGGUUGAAUCUCAAUUUGAGGAUAGAAAGAGAGUGGGGAAAGAAGAUUUAGUUUUUUACCGCCCCAGUUCAACAUAAGUAAAGUUCGAUAGGGUCUUGUCGUCCUUCUUUGUUAUUCAAGUUUUUUUACUUGACAGAAAAAUUAAAAUAGUUAGGGUAAUAAAGAAAUUUAUACGUCAGACCUUUCAUACUGGCCUUUAAUUAGAAGGCAAAUGAUUAUGCUACCUUAGCACAUAUUAUUGCGGCUAUUAAAAGGAUCAUUGAGCAGGUCCUACUGAAUAUAAUCUCAUUCAGAAAUGUUUUUGGUAAACAGACAAUAAAUUUAGAGGCCGAGUUCAUGGACCCAAAGUUAAAGCGAUGAAAGUGGGUGGGGGGAUGGUUUAAAUAAAUAAAGUAAGAAGAAUUUUACUAAUAAGAUCAUUGUGAAAAUUAAUAGAUGGCCUUCUUUUAACACAAUUUUAAAAGGAGAGGAGCAUGAGUUUGAAAACUUAGGGGACACUAUUAAUCCUGGGUCUUGAAUGGGAGAGGUGGAGUAAUAAUUAAAAAAGAUUAUCCCUUUUUAAAUUUUAGUAUUAUUACUUUUAACGAAAACCAGAUAUUAAAGAACGCGAAUGGAAUUUCAUCUCUAUAUCCACUUUGGAAAACUUUGUGAAACAAGCUUGACAAGGGAGAAUAGAUCGUUUCUAUUUCGGGAAAAUUUUUUAAAAAAUUGGGGUUGAUUUUCCCUGAUACCAAAGGUACAUUAAAUUUCUAUUUUUCAAUUUAGGGGUGCUUCCCCUCACGGUAAAAUAAUAAUAAGGCGCUUAGGAAAAUAAAGUAAAUAUUUGUUUAGGCAGAAUGAAAAAAUAAGUAGGCU
This 895-nucleotide ribosomal RNA is filed under the name Aptostichus atomarius. RNAcentral describes it as "partial 16S ribosomal RNA". The record is from RNAcentral. Lineage: Eukaryota; Metazoa; Arthropoda; Arachnida; Araneae; Euctenizidae.